CGUAUCCGGUAGUCUGCAUCCAAGAUUCAACCUACCAUGGAUCAUAAACAUAGUACUGUACAUGAUCCGAGGUUGGUUGAAUCUGUGGAUGUGGAACAUGUGGAUAC
Molecule: non-coding RNA, 107 nt
Organism: Equus caballus (horse)
Lineage: Eukaryota; Metazoa; Chordata; Mammalia; Perissodactyla; Equidae
Source: Rfam